UUUUAUCAAACAAUAACCUUAAUGUUAACUGACUGGCUGUUCAUUCAAACAACUCAUAUCGUUGCGAUGAGCUAACGUUCGCUAAUAUAUAGCUUGUGUCGACAGGCAGAACGAACUAGCAUGUUGCGUGCUAACUUUAGGACAAACAACAUGCUAGCUAGCCAUCUGUCAAGCUUGCCAAGCAACCAUCUUGACUGAAAUUGCUACAAGUCAUUCGUUCAAUUACUUUCUGUCUUUGUAAAGAUGCAGGGAAGCAAUUGCUGAACAUCCCAAAGAAACCUUCUAGAAGACUUCAUCUCCCACACAUAGGAGCUGAUAUCAUGGCAAUGGAGUGCGGCUGUGAUCGGUGCCAACGGAGAGAUGAAGGUUUUCUACAACCAGAACCUCAGUCCCAGCAAAGGUGUCCUGUCCCUGGUGACAGUCCACCCACAGUCUCUCUCUGUGGGGAAACAACUGCUUCCCAAAACCCUGGGGCCCUCCAACGUCAACAUCGCCACACACAU
Long non-coding RNA from Oncorhynchus kisutch (coho salmon), 503 nucleotides. RefSeq lists it as uncharacterized. NCBI's taxonomy places the organism in Eukaryota, Metazoa, Chordata, Actinopteri, Salmoniformes, Salmonidae. The record is from RefSeq and is a predicted model, not a curated record. The transcript has 4 exons.